This 1531-nucleotide ribosomal RNA is filed under the name Capillibacterium thermochitinicola. RNAcentral's name for it is "bacterial SSU rRNA". It matches the Rfam family "Bacterial small subunit ribosomal RNA". The record is from RNAcentral. Lineage: Bacteria; Bacillati; Bacillota.
UUUACGGAGAGUUUGAUCCUGGCUCAGGACGAACGCUGGCGGCGUGCUUAAUACAUGCAAGUCGAACGGAGCCUAGCUGGUGGUUUACUACCGGCGAAAGCUUAGUGGCGGACGGGUGAGUAACGCGUGGGUAAUCUGCCCCUAAGUCCGGGAUAACAGAGCGAAAGUUCUGCUAAUACCGGAUACUCUUCCCGGGUCGCAUGGUCUGGGAAGGAAAGGUUUACUGCUUAGGGAUGAGCCCGCGUCCCAUUAGCUAGUUGGUGAGGUAACGGCUCACCAAGGCGACGAUGGGUAGCCGGCCUGAGAGGGUGGACGGCCACACUGGGACUGAGACACGGCCCAGACUCCUACGGGAGGCAGCAGUAGGGAAUUUUCCGCAAUGGGCGAAAGCCUGACGGAGCAACGCCGCGUGAGGGAAGAAGGUCUUCGGAUCGUAAACCUUUGUCAUCGGGGACGAUCAUGACGGUACCCGAGGAGGAAGCCCCGGCUAACUACGUGCCAGCAGCCGCGGUAAUACGUAGGGGGCGAGCGUUGUCCGGAAUUACUGGGCGUAAAGGGCGCGUAGGCGGCCCAAUAAGUCAGAUGUGAAAAACCUGGGCUUAACCGAGGUCUUGCAUUUGAAACUGUUGGGCUUGAGGACAGGAGAGGAAAGCGGAAUUCCCAGUGUAGCGGUGAAAUGCGUAGAUAUUGGGAGGAACACCAGUGGCGAAGGCGGCUUUCUGGACUGCACCUGACGCUGAGGCGCGAAAGCCAGGGGAGCGAACGGGAUUAGAUACCCCGGUAGUCCUGGCCGUAAACGAUGGAUACUAGGUGUGGGAGGUAUCGACCCCUUCCGUGCCGUAGCCAACGCACUAAGUAUCCCGCCUGGGGAGUACGGCCGCAAGGCUGAAACUCAAAGGAAUUGACGGGGGCCCGCACAAGCGGUGGAGCAUGUGGUUUAAUUCGAUGCAACGCGAAGAACCUUACCAGGUCUUGACAUCCCUCUGACGGAUACAGAGAUGUAUCUUUCCUUCGGGACAGAGGAGACAGGUGGUGCAUGGCUGUCGUCAGCUCGUGUCGUGAGAUGUUGGGUUAAGUCCCGCAACGAGCGCAACCCCUAUCCUUAGUUGCCAGCGGUACGGCCGGGGACUCUAAGGAGACUGCCGGUGACAAAUCGGAGGAAGGUGGGGAUGACGUCAAGUCAUCAUGCCCCUUAUGACCUGGGCUACACACGUGCUACAAUGGCCGGUACAGAGCGCAGCGAAGCCGUGAGGCGGAGCGAAUCGCAAAAAGCCGGUCCCAGUUCGGAUCGGAGUCUGCAACUCGACUCCGUGAAGGAGGAAUCGCUAGUAAUCUCGGGUCAGCAUACCGAGGUGAAUACGUUCCCGGGCCUUGUACACACCGCCCGUCACACCACGAAAGUCAACUACACCCGAAGCCGGUGCGCUAACCGCAAGGAGGCAGCCGUCUAAGGUGGAGUUGAUGAUUGGGGUGAAGUCGUAACAAGGUAGCCGUAUCGGAAGGUGCGGCUGGAUCACCUCCUUUCUAAGGA